UACGAAGGGUGCAAGCGUUACUCGGAAUUACUGGCGUAAAGCGUGCGUAGGUGGUUUGUUAAGUCUGAUGUGAAAGCCCUGGGCUCAACCUGGGAAUUGCAUUGGAUACUGGCAGGCUAGAGUGCGGUAGAGGGUAGUGGAAUUCCCGGUGUAGCAGUGAAAUGCGUAGAGAUCGGGAGGAACAUCUGUGGCGAAGGCGACUACCUGGACCAGCACUGACACUGAGGCACGAAAGCGUGGGGAGCAAACAGG
Molecule: ribosomal RNA, 252 nt
Filed under: uncultured bacterium
Lineage: Bacteria
Description: partial 16S ribosomal RNA
Rfam family: Bacterial small subunit ribosomal RNA
Source: RNAcentral